GGGGGUGACCAGGGCUCGACGGCGACUGGAAAUCCAACGUGCAUGCCGAGGUGCGGUGGUCCUCGUAAAACCCUUCCGCAACAAGCUAGUUGCGAACGACGCGAACUACGCCCUCGCCGCCUAAUCCCGGCGAGCGGUCGCCCGGCCGGUGUUGAUGCCGCCGACGCGACCGUCGACUCUCAUCAACUCGCGGUGAAACCGGCCACCGGUCGAUCCGUUAAACCUUAAAGAGUGGCUAAGCGGACGUGUUCCGUGCCCCUUCGGCAGCGUCCGACGAAAAACAAAGAGCGGGCUAAGCAUGUAGAUCGAAGGACGGAAGGUUGUCGGACGGCGGUUCGAUUCCGCCCACCUCCACCA
Molecule: transfer-messenger RNA, 357 nt
Filed under: Nevskiaceae
Lineage: Bacteria; Pseudomonadati; Pseudomonadota; Gammaproteobacteria; Nevskiales
Also listed under: 1 other name
Description: Nevskia sp019689635 Standard tmRNA
Rfam family: transfer-messenger RNA
About the family: Bacterial tmRNA, also known as 10Sa RNA or SsrA, is named for its dual tRNA and mRNA-like properties. Its role is to liberate the mRNA from a stalled ribosome.
Source: RNAcentral